GCCCACGUCGUCCAGCGGUCAGGAUCCCGGCUUUUCACCCCGGGGAGGGCGGGUUCGACUCCCACCGUGGGUA
This 73-nucleotide transfer RNA is filed under the name Myxococcales bacterium. RNAcentral's name for it is "tRNA-Glu". It matches the Rfam family "tRNA". Rfam says of the family: Transfer RNA (tRNA) molecules are approximately 80 nucleotides in length. The record is from RNAcentral. Lineage: Bacteria; Pseudomonadati; Myxococcota; Myxococcia; Myxococcales.